UACUGCGCGCUCACACUGCAGCAACUGUGAGUGUGAGGAAGACAAUGAGUGAGACAAACAAUGCGUUAAAAUGUGCCACUGCCAAACAACACAGGAUAGGAUCAACAACACAUCUCGACAGAAACCAACCGUAUGGAUGCUCGCUAUCCAUAUAGGCCUUUGAUCUCCUGUUCACACUCAUAGUUCAUGGAUGAAGAACAAUCCAAAUCUGCAAAUGGGAACAGAAAUUCGCACAUGGGCAUGUAUAGAUUGAAAACAAUUCACAUGUGAAAAUCUUUACAUUACAACAAUUAACGGGUGGAUAUCCGAAAGUGCCGGGGAUGAGAGACGUCAAACGAAAUUGCGUGACUGAGGUGUGCCAGAUGAAUGCACGGGGC
Long non-coding RNA from Sinocyclocheilus grahami, 377 nucleotides. RefSeq lists it as uncharacterized. NCBI's taxonomy places the organism in Eukaryota, Metazoa, Chordata, Actinopteri, Cypriniformes, Cyprinidae. The record is from RefSeq and is a predicted model, not a curated record. The transcript is spliced from 3 exons.